AGAGAGAGACAGGCCUUCCGUAUCCUUCUUAAGCCCUUAGCCCUCUUCAGCUGUUCCUCAGCUGGAUCUUUCAUCCCCCCACACAUAGGCUUUGUGUUUUUCCAGAUCUGAGACUGAUCUUGAGUGGCAGCAGAAGGCCCUCAAGCAGCUUAAUAUUGAUGAAAUUCCUGAUUUUGUUGCUCUGAGAUAUUGUGGUGCCUUCACUUCUACUUUUGGGUGUCUUUGUGGUGAUUUAAAUCGUGUAUUUCAAACCUCACCUGGACUAGCCGGUCCCAGUGAAAGCUUCUGCAAUUCUGUACCAUUCCCCAAGUGGAAUCUCAUAUUCUUACUUCGUUGACUCAUUGAUUCUGUUCUGAUUCUCAGUCUCCAGUGCUUAUGCAUCUUCAGGAUGCUGACUCCAGACUGAUAAAGACUGUAAGGGAAUCUUUAUGCAGAUCAGAAAAAGGAGCAUCUUCUGGGUGUUGGCUAUAUCCUGUGCACAUGGUUCCAGUCUCUUCUAAUCCAACACAUUUGGCAUACAACUGCCAGAUUAAUCUUCUGCAAACCUCCCUCUCAUCACAUCACUUGUGACUCAAGUAUCUCAAUGUGUCCUUUCUUCUUGAAGAAAAAUUCCAGAACCUGAGACUCUUGUCAUUACCUGUUUCCACUGUCGGAUGUUAUGUAGGAUGAGACACACCAUUCCUUUGGGCCUUCAUCCCUGAUGCUUUGUAUUGAGUUUCGGACACCUGCCAGGUCUUCUAGUCUCUUUAGUGAAGACUGUAGAGUGAGGAGCACUUGCAUUUCAUUCCUUCUGCAAGUAAGUAGGGGUAAAUUAUAAAUGAGCAAAUACAUGAUAUGGAAUAGAAUUAAAAAAAAACAACUCAAAGUGGGUAAACACAACUUUAGAUGCACAACUUUAGUUGAAGAAAUGAACACAAUGCGACAGAGUCCAAACGGGAGCCGGAAUACAUGUGAUACCUAAAUUUUGU
This 968-nucleotide long non-coding RNA is filed under the name Felis catus (domestic cat). RNAcentral's name for it is "lncRNA (ENSFCAG00000041481.2)". The record is from RNAcentral. Lineage: Eukaryota; Metazoa; Chordata; Mammalia; Carnivora; Felidae.